CCCGCCGUAUCUCAAAAACAACAAAUGAUUAUUGCUUAAAACUUUCUCAGAAACUAUUUAUGAUUAUUGCAUAAAACUUCCACACAAGGCGUCGGGUGCUCAUGGCACAGCUGUUUAUUAUUAUUUUAAACCCCAGCUUUAAACACCGCUUUAAAAUCUUGGGGGUAAACAGUUUUAUCUCUGUCUGUCCAUCCAUUUGUCAGUCCGUCUGUCCCAUGAAUAUUUUCGUCGCAUUUUUCUCAGGAACUACUUGACAAGGAUUUAUAGAACUUGGUUUUAGGGUUAUAUAUAAGUCAGCUACAUGUAUACCCUGUAAUGCGUUUUCAGAUUUAUCACUCAACAACUAACUUCCUGCUUAUCGAAAACUUGUAUCAUUUUACACAUGAUAGCCAAGUUUUGGACAAUCAAUGCAUUUGAAUGAGGAAAUAUGGUUUAACUCUCCCCCUAAACACUGAUCACUGACAAGUUCAAUAAAUAAAUUUGGGCAAUUGGCUAUAAAUACAUUGCGUGCUAUAAAUAUUUCUUAUCAACUAAAACAUUCAAGGCGUAACAAUAAACACAAAUACGACAAAAUAUUCUUGUCAAAAGCUGUACAUAUAUUUUAUAUAGCAUCUCCUUCUGGCAUCAACACUUUGUGGUGUAAUUGCAAUUGUCAGGAAGACCUUUUAUGUCCACUGGUUGAGGUGUUGCAUGUAGAAAAAUUAAUUAAAAUCACUCCACACAGUGAUUAAGAUUCAAAUUCACUUCAUUACAUUAGUUAAAGUAUUAUAACUAAACAUACUAAAAGAACGAUUGUGAAAAUUUGCGAUUUUUGUACUUAUAAUCCCCCCCCCCCCCCACCCCCCAAAAAAAAAAAAACAAAAAAAAACAGUUUCCUUUAAGCUACAUGUACACCUAUUUUUAAAUUCAUUGAAAUAAAGGACACAUCAUGCACAUUAAAGAAAAAAAUACAUUUGAAAAUACUUGUAGUAGUACAAUGUAGCUUAUAAACUUGUAAUAGACCUGGCUUAACAUUGAAUUGUUAGUUUGUCUGACCUUUCAAAAUAAGUGAGCAAAAAAAAUAAAAAAGAAAGCAUAGCAUCCUCCCUAUUUUCAAUUGAUAAAAGGUUUGGCAGUUAAUUUGAAAUUAAUUCAAAGAUCUUAACCAGGGACGUGACAAUGUGAGAUUUGAUUGAUAAAUAUAGUUAUUUUUUUAAUUUGAAUUAAAAAAAAAUAUAUCUGUUUUUCACCAUAGAAGUUGAUUGGAAAUACUGCUGAUAU
This 1260-nucleotide long non-coding RNA is filed under the name Mytilus galloprovincialis (Mediterranean mussel). Lineage: Eukaryota; Metazoa; Mollusca; Bivalvia; Mytilida; Mytilidae. The record is from RNAcentral.